UGCGCAGUGCUCACCCGCAGGUGCAGAAGAGCGAGCGAGCGCGUUCCGCCCCAGACGCCGGGGUUCGUAGGCAGUAAAGACUCCCCCUCUUCUCUCCGCAGGAAGCGGACCCAGCGGGAGCGCACACACACGGAAGAACAGAGCCCUCUGCAAUUCUCAUUGGUGGACUCUCCGUGUAGAGCCCGCCCUCAAACCUACUCUUCCGGGAAAGGGCGAAGAAGGGGACCAAUGGAGACCGGAUCACAGGGAAGGCAUGAGGAGAGUCUGUGUGCACACCCACAGGGUUUGUCAUCACCCCCCUAAGCUCUGCUGCACGAGUACAGCCAUUGCCACCCUCAUCAGGACCCGGAUGCUUCUCUAACGGACUGUGCCAUUACCACCCACAUCUGCCUCAUUAACCAUGCCCCUGCCUCUGCUUCUGAGGGAUUCUGCACAACAGACUUCAUGGCAGAGCCCUGGUCCUUUGUUGUUUUAAUUCUGCCAGAUGUCAAGACAUCAUCUUUGAAUUCCACAGUCUGCUCCCCAGACUCAAGCUCAGCAUGGUGGUAUACAAUUGUGCUCCCAACACUCUGGAAGCA
Molecule: long non-coding RNA, 578 nt
Organism: Mastomys coucha (southern multimammate mouse)
Lineage: Eukaryota; Metazoa; Chordata; Mammalia; Rodentia; Muridae
Exons: 3
Source: RefSeq, a predicted model, not a curated record